Non-coding RNA from Zootoca vivipara (common lizard), 3689 nucleotides. NCBI's taxonomy places the organism in Eukaryota, Metazoa, Chordata, Lepidosauria, Squamata, Lacertidae. The record is from RefSeq and is a predicted model, not a curated record.
AUCCCAUUGCUCUUAAAGGCAGCAUUGCCUUUGUUUCAUGCUUCCUGUCCCACAGGCCCUGUCUCCUCUUCCAGGGCAGUGUCCUUUACGAUGCACACAAAAAGGAGACAGGCGUUUAUGUCUUGCUGAUGCCGCUAAGAACAGGGCUAAAAUGAGGCACCGCACACCUUUGAAAUGCAAUGCCCCUGCCGUUGAAAUAGUUCGGCUCAAGAAACAGACAUAGAUCUAUUGAAGGAGGAUUUGGGUGGAACGGAAAGUUCAAGCUGUUUGUCUAAGCAAUCAAGCCACUGGAAGGCAAGACCAAGGCAGAGAAAAUGAGGACACUCUUUUGACUAGCUCCACCACACUCUAUUUAACCACUGACCCAGUUAAGUAAUUGCAAUACUGACAAGUCCCCUUUGGGUUUGACAAUGGUUGUCAUCUGCCGGAGAAGCGAGUAGCCCCAGCUGUUGUGUUUCGCGUUAUUUAUUCAACACAAACUCAUGCGGAUUCAGUUACUUCUAAUCUACUGCGUGUUGAGUGAACCAUGCAGAAGAGUUUGCAGAAAUCCUGACUUCAGCUUUAGAGAUUUGCCAGAGAUCAUUCUCGCCGGAAGCAUUUCCACGGUGUUUUAUUAGCAGUGGGCAUUCGCAGUGCUUCUUGGAAGGAGUCUUCCCAUGAAAGACGCAUUACUGUUUCUUUGGGAGGGGGGGGUGAGGGUCCAAAAAAUUAGAAUGGCUUGUUUUGGAAGUUAUGUGCAUUGUAGUCUUCACCUCUUCCCUUGGCAAGGGAUGACAAAGCUAAGCCAUGCCCCACAGCAUUUCUUUCAAAAAGACAAGAGUCCAUUAAGGAUUCCUCUUGUUGACUUUUAAGGCAUCUUUGCAAGGUUCUGUCAUUAGGGAAACACAUGUUGAUAACUGAUGUAAUAGCAUCUGCAUCAAAGUCUAACUGGCUGGAGACAGAUGGCAGUUUUUUCCAGGAAGUUGAAGAUGCUAUAUUUUUUUUUGUUGGGAGCCACCCAGAGUGGCUGGGGCAACCCAGUCAGAUGGGCAGCAUAUAAAUAAAUUAUUAUUAUUAUUAAGCAUUCACUCAUAUUUUAUUUGCUAGGUAUUUCAUGGCAUCCACGUCUUCAGCGAAUAAGUGUGAACUCAACCCAGAUUGGCGUUUGAGAUGUCACGGUAAAAUGUUCAGAAUCUCUCCCAUAAAAAAAAGGCUACUCUGGGACUUCUUGGUUCAGAGAGAACAUCCAUUUUCGUGCAGCGGGGGAGACUGUGACCAGUUCAUCUCGAAUUAUUGGCCGAGGGAGCCGGCGUAUAGCUUCCUGGUCAUGUGGCCAGCAUGACAAAGCCACUUCUGGCAAACCAGAGCAGCACAUGGAAACGCUGUUUACCUUCCCGCUGUAGCGGUUCCUAUUUAUCUACUUGCAUUUUGACGUGCUUUCGAACUGCUAGGUUGGCAGGAGCUGGGACCAAGCAACGGGAGCUCACCCCGUCACAGGGAUUCGAACCGCCGACCUUCUGAUCAGCAAGCCCUCUGAUCAGAAACCAAGCCAGAAACCAAGAUCAGUGGUUUAACCACAGCGCCACCUGGGUCCCUAUACUGUUUUAUAGUUUUAAGAAAAAAAUCUCAAAGUGAUCUAUAACCUAAAAUUAAAAUAUCAAAAUAUCUUUGUGAAAAUUCCAGCAUUUUAGUGCAAAUUUCUCCGAAUAUUCUUCUUCUUGUUGUUGUCUAAUAUAUACAUAGGUUGUGACUUAUUAAGCCCUAUAUGGCUUUUGUCCAGACUAUCUGAAAGACCGUAUUCUCCCACGUGAACCUGCCCUGGGCUCUGAGAUCUUCUCUCAGUCCCUCCUUCAUCACGGACACACUCGGUGGGGACGUGGGAGAGGACCUUCUUGGUGGCUGCUUCCAGACUGUGGAAGUCCUUCGCAAGAGAAGCUAGACCGACUCCCUCCUUGUUGUUCUUCCAGUGGCAGGCUAGACAUUUAAUUCGCAAAGGAAUAUGGCCCUCAGGCUGAAAACGAUUCUUUACCCUUGAUCUGCAGCAGGGAUAUGGGGAACUGGAUCUGGUCGAAAAGAUCUACCCCCAUGGGUCAAAUUUAUCAGAUGGGCAGUGCCACCCGCCUAUCAAUCAACUGGUGUCACAACGAAGGAUGCUUUGAAGCCCUAACAAUCACCUUCUUGUUGGAUCUUCUCUAUGCCUUCCUCGAGCCCUUGUGGCUUAGCUGGAGUGAGUUAUUGAACUGCAAUGAUGCCUCUUUCUUCUCUGAAAAGAAGAUAGAGGGGCAGGGGGUGGCGGUAGAAAGCUCUGGGUUUUGCAUGGCCAGCGUGUAGGGAAGAGUCACACUCCACCAACGUUUGCCUCUGGCAGAACCCAGAACUGACAUGUGACUCCCCUCCACAGGAAUUCCCCCAUGAGAAUGCAGAAAAAAAAUUCUUCACCUCAAUAUAGACCCCUCUGGGAAGAUCUAUAGUUUAUCAGUAGAACAUACACAUUGCAUGCAGACUGUCCCAGUUUCAAUCCACAGCAUCUCUUGGUAGGGCCAGGAGAGACUUCUGUCUGAAACCCCUGAGAUCUGCAGCCAAUCAGUGUGAACUAUACUGAGCUAGGUGGACCAAUAGGCUGACUCACUAGAAGGCAUCUUCCCAUGUUCCUAACCAUGGAUGGUUCCUAACCUGUAGGUUAGGAACUACAACUCCCAUCAUCCCUGACCUGACGACUGAUGACCGAUGCUGAUGGGAGAUGCUCUCCAACAACGUCUUUCCUGAUCCAAACCCUUUUUGGGGCAUGUUGAAGUCAACAGAAACGCUCUUCUUGGUGCUGGCGACUGAAGCACGGACAGCCCUGCGAAUCGACAUGAAGCAAGUGGGAAAGGAAUGCUUCUGAAGGACAAAAGUACUAGGGGGUUUGAAAAUAAGUCAACACGAUUUGAAAAAGAAAUUUUGAAUAGUAAUGAAAAAUUACUUUCCAAAAUGUAUAGACUCUUAGAAGAAUCAGAAACAAAUUAUGAAGUGAAAAACAAAAAUAUGUGCAAAUGGGAACAAGAUAUUGGAUACGAAAUAGGCAUAGACGAUUGGAGAAAGUUUUGGAAAAAUAGUAUAAAGUUCACAUCUUGUUACUCUCUAAGAGAGAACUUUAUGAAACUCCACCACAGAUGGUACUUGGGACCGGACAGGCUUGCAAAAAUGAACAAGAACACGAGCAACAAAUGUUGGAGGUGCCAAAGUGCGGUCGGCUCCCUGUUUCAUAUGUGGUGGACAUGCCCAGAAGUGCAAAAAUAUUGGGACAUGAUACAUACCGAAAUUCAAAAGUUAAUAAAAAUAGCAUUUUCUAAAAAAGCAGAAUCCUAUCUUCUGGGCAUCCUAAGUAGUGAAAUACCAUAUGACAGAACCAAUAUAUUUCUAUAUGCGACGACAGCCGCCAGAAUGUUACUUGCUAAAUAUUGGAAAGGUACCCUUAUACCAACAAAAGGGGAAUGGGUAAACAAAUUAUGCGAAUAUCUGGAGUUGGCGAAACUCACAGAUAUAAUACGACAAAAACCAAAAAAUAGGAUUAAAAAACAAUGGGAUUGUUUAAAUGACUAUUUAACGAAAACAGACAAGGGGACAAAACAUGGUUAUGUUUGGAAUAACCUUGUAAGGAUGAGUAGUGUUUAUACAGUAUAUAUUGUUAGACAGAUCUAAAGGUAAAAUGUUUAUUGAAAUAUUUUUAA